ACACGACUACAUUAGACUACCCGGUAGUCCUAGCCGUAAACGAUACUCGCUAGGUGUCGGCCACGGUGCGACCGUUGUCGGUGCCGUAGGGAAGCCGUGAAGCGAGCCACCUGGGAAGUACGGCCGCAAGGCUGAAACUUAAAGGAAUUGGCGGGGGAGCACCGCAACGGGAGGAGCGUGCGGUUCAAUUGGAUUCAACGCCGGACAACUCACCAGGAGCGACGGUUACAUGAAGGCCAGGCUGAUGACCUUGCCUGAUUUUCCG
RNAcentral lists this ribosomal RNA (265 nucleotides) under uncultured archaeon. RNAcentral describes it as "partial 16S ribosomal RNA". It matches the Rfam family "Archaeal small subunit ribosomal RNA", at positions 717 to 982 of the family's 1478-position model. The record is from RNAcentral.